This 376-nucleotide ribosomal RNA is filed under the name uncultured bacterium. RNAcentral describes it as "bacterial SSU rRNA". It matches the Rfam family "Bacterial small subunit ribosomal RNA", at positions 524 to 898 of the family's 1533-position model. The record is from RNAcentral.
UACGGGGGGAGCAAGCGUUGUUCGGAAUCACUGGGCGUAAAGGGCGUCUAGGCGGUCAGAUAAGUGGGAUGUGAAAUGCCCCGGCUCACCCGGGGACCGGCAUCCCAAACUGUCUGGCUUGAGUAUGGGAGAGGAUGUGGGAAUUCCUGGUGUAGCGGUGAAAUGCGUAGAUAUCAGGAGGAACACCGGUGGCGAAGGCGCACAUCUGGCCCAAUACUGACGCUAAAGCGCGAAAGCUAGGGGAGCAAACGGGAUUAGAUACCCCGGUAGUCCUAGCCGUAAACGGUGAUCACUAGGUGUUGGAGGCAUCGACCCCUCCAGUGCCGCAGCUAACGCAUUAAGUGAUCCGCCUGGGGAGUACGGCCGCAAGGUUGAA